UAAAUCAGAACGGCAGUAAGGUAAGAGCCCCCAGGGAUUCCAGGCCCCCUCCACUGGGCAGCCCACGGGGGGGGGCACCAUGGGCGUCUCGCAUUCUUCCAAGGAGGCGUGGGAACGCGAGAGCAGGAGCGACUUCUGGUGGACGCAGAUCCAGGAGGGGUUCCGGAGCCAGAGCGACUUCAACUGGGACCAGAUCAAGCAGCUGCACCAGAGGUUCCGGCUGCUGAGCGGAGACCAGCCCACCAUCCGGCCCGAGAACUUCGACUACGUCCUGGACCUGGAGUUCAACCCGAUCCGCUCCAGGAUCGUCCGCGCCUUCUUCGACAACCGGAACCUGGGCAAGGGGACCAGCGGCCUGGCGGAGGAGAUUGGCUUCGAGGACUUCCUGACCAUCAUCUCCUACUUCAAGCCGCUGCGCUCGCACUUCAGCAAGGAGGAGGCGGAGCUGUACCGUCGGGAGAAGCUGCGCUUCCUCUUCCACAUGUACGACGAGGACGGCGACGGGGUCAUCACGCUGCAGGAGUACCGCAGGGUGGUGGAGGACCUGCUGUCGGCGAACCCGCAGGUGGAGCGCGCCUGGGUGCGCUCCAUCGCCAACUCCAUCGCGUGCCGCGCCUUGAAGGAGGCGGCCAGGGUGUCCGGCCAUCCGCGGCAGGAGGACCAGCCCUACCAGGCCAUCACCUUCGAGGACUUCGUCAAGACCUGGCAGGGCAUCGACUUGGAGGUCAAGAUGCGAGUCAACUUCCUGAACCAAGAAGCCGCGGCCUUGUGACAGUGACCCGCGGGGCCGUGCCCACCCCCAGCCCCACGGGAGAACGCCGUGAGCCCGGCAGCAGCUACCGGGGGGAAGACACAAGUUGCUCUAUCAACUACCAACUGAAGUACACCCCCAGCCCCACAUCUCUCUGUCAGUGAUUGGCCAUGCAUGAAGGGCUGAUUUGGAGUCAAGAUACGAGACAAACGGUGUGGUUUCGAAACGGAACAGUUUUGAACUAAAUCCAAAGGGGGAAAACAAAAUAAAACCCUUGACCAUGAGACAUCCACUUUCAGAAAUAACGGGAAGAAAAAAAAAAGCAAAUUCAGAAGAGAAAUGCUUUUACCCCGCUGCAAAGAAACCUCAAUAGGGAGAAGUCCUCUGUGUAAGGAGCGAAGGAAGGUUCGUAAGGCCGUGACACAAACGUGUACAGCGUGGGAAACUCACGGCUAAAACAUACUUGAAUGUAAGUGCCGUGGGACAUCCUUACAACUGUUCAUCGAGACUUCAUAUUGGCGGGAAGCCUUAGGAAUGUGGACUGUGGAGAGGCUGAGGUCGGAUCUGUCAUCUUACUACCAGAAAAUUCAUAUUGAUCCAAAAAAAACCAUCCUAGGAAUGUAAGGAACAUGGGAGGGCCUUGGUAAAUAAACAUGAAAUAAUUCAUACAGGCGAGGAACCUCACCAACGUCAAGAAUGUGGGCGAGGCUUCCAUUACCGCAAUGGACUUACACAGCGCUGGAAAACCGUACUGAUAAGAAACCUUACGGAUGUGAAACUACGUGGAAAGGCUUCCUGUUGGGGUCACCAACUCGCUUGACAUCACAGUUCACGCUGGCAAGAAACUAUGAGUGGAUAUAAGGAAUUCGGGGAGGCCUUAACUGUGAGUUUGUGCAAUAUAAAAAAAAAUCCAUACUGGCAAGUAACGCGAUGAAUGUGAGGAACGUAAGGUCUUUAGCUGUGGUUGAAGACAUGUUAAGAUCACCAGAAAGAUCACGCCAGUGAGAAACUCUGGAUACAAAGACUGUGGUGGGGGAGGGGGCUCGGGCAGUCGCCAUUACCUGAUAGUGACACCAGCUACCUCACACUGGGGAGAAACCCUAUCAAUGUCAGGAACUCGGGAGGCCUGUGAUUGAAGAUCAAGUCUUGUGCUGCGUAGUGAAAGACCUGAGGUUAUCAGGCUUCAGGCUGAAUACCCCGGUGACGUCCCGAGCUCAAUAACCAGACAGUUGGAUGCAAACCGCGAGAGGUUUAUUGUUCACACAGGCAUCUGUGGGCGAUUCAGCAGCUUGGCUAACUGAAUGUGCCGGGCUCUAAGACAGUUUUCUUUUUAUAUACAUACUUUUGGCAAGCAAAGUAAUAGGGGUAUUGUAAGGAGUGGAGCUACUGCA
Mesocricetus auratus (golden hamster) is the source of this 2142-nucleotide RNA transcript. It is a transcript of the gene named calcineurin B homologous protein 3-like, with no coding region annotated. The record is from RefSeq and is a predicted model, not a curated record. NCBI's taxonomy places the organism in Eukaryota, Metazoa, Chordata, Mammalia, Rodentia, Cricetidae. The transcript is spliced from 3 exons.